GACGAACGCUGGCGGCGUGCUUAACACAUGCAAGUCGAACGGAAAGGCCCUGCUUUUGUGGGGUGCUCGAGUGGCGAACGGGUGAGUAACACGUGAGUAACCUGUCCUUGACUUUGGGAUAACUUCAGGAAACUGGGGCUAAUAUCGGAUAGGAGCUCUUGCUGCAUGUGGGGGGUUGGAAAGUUUCGGCGGUUGGGGAUGGAUUCGCGGCUUAUCAGCUGGUUGGUGGGGUAGUGGCUUACCACGGCUUUGACGGGUAGCCCGCAUGAGAGGGUGAACGGCCUCAUUGGGACUGCGAUACGGCCCAGUAUCCUACCGGAGGCAGCAGUGGGAAACAUUGCACAGUGGGCGGAAGCCUGAUGCAGAAACGCCGCGUGCGGGAUGCCGGCCUUCGGGUUGUAAACCGCUUUCGACUGAGCCGAAGAGUGAGUGACGGUAAUUGGUCAAGAAGCACCGGCUAACUACGUG
This 468-nucleotide ribosomal RNA is filed under the name uncultured bacterium. Its description in RNAcentral is "partial 16S ribosomal RNA". It matches the Rfam family "Bacterial small subunit ribosomal RNA", at positions 28 to 507 of the family's 1533-position model. The record is from RNAcentral.